GCACUGCCGAAGAGUCCCACAACAGGAGGAAACGGCUGUCCAGUGC
Molecule: non-coding RNA, 46 nt
Organism: Schistosoma curassoni
Lineage: Eukaryota; Metazoa; Platyhelminthes; Trematoda; Strigeidida; Schistosomatidae
Source: Rfam